AAUUAUUUCUUCUGUCAGAGAAAAUCCUUUUCGACCAUAGAUUCAUUAAUAAUUCUAUACUGCGACUGGACGCUUUUCUGUGUAAACCUCCGAUUCUGUCAACCGACCUUUUUGUCAUCCUUGUUUCAGCGAUUUUAGUCUGUUAUUAUUAUGUUUCGAAGAAAAUACUUAUCCUUAUUCCCAAACACCGUAAAGGCGAAAAAUGUCGUCGCUCCGUACAACCGCAAGGCUCAGAUUAGGUCGCUUAAAGCGGCGACCACGGUGAGCGACGCUAGUUUUACCAAGCGGCAAACGAGUCAAUCGGUGGUGAAUCUGAAAGAGAUGAACGAUUUUUCCUCCAAGAAUCCGCAUCUUCACGCGUUGCUCCUCGAAGCGGGGGAUGUGCUGAAGAAUUCCACCGAUGCCGAUGGUGUUUCUGUUUAUAUGGUGGACAAAGGACCGAACGAGAUCUAUCUCUUGACCGGAGACGAGAACGAUGUGAUGUUGUCCCGCUAUCGUUUCGAGAUAAAACGCGGCAACACCGUAGCCGCGCACGUGGCCUUCAACAAGGAGAACGUGAUGGUCGAAAAUUUCGAAAUUGACGCCAGGUUUCCGGAAGGGACUGGCUUCAAAUACGACAACGCGGAAUCGGUGCUCGGCGUUCCCGUGGUGACGCCGGACGGCGAGUGCUACGCGGUCUUCGAAAUGGUCAAGGAGGACGUCAAAGAUCCCUUCAACAAGGACGACCUCAAGGUGUCGAUAGUGGUGGCCGGUUGGAUGGGGGCGGCCAUCCAUCAGAACCUACAGAGGCAGGCGAUGUUGAAGCAGGCCAGUCUGCACAACCAGCUGCUCGAGAUGACCGGCGCCUUCUUCAGCAAGCGGACCGACUGCAACUCCAUGAUCACGGAAUUGAUGAAUUUCCUGAAGGAUACCCUGGAAGUGUCGCGGGGCACGUUCUUCCUGAUCGACAAGGAGUGCGACGAGCUCACCGCCGAGGUGUACGAGGAGGGGAUCGACGAGAGGAACGACAACUUCGUGAAGAAGAGCCUGACGGCGAAGCUGUUGCAGAAGGACAGGGGGAUCGCCAGCCUGGUGGCCAGGACCGGCAAGAGGGUCAACGUGAAGGAUCCGGUGAGGGACAGGAGGAUCGGCGACGAGUACGAGCUGAGGGUCGGCAGGACGAUCAAGACGCUCCUGUGCAUGCCCAUCGCCAACGACAGCGGGCUCGUAGGCAUAUUUCACCUGCUCAACAAGAAGUACGGGAUCUUCACGAGGGCGGAUGAAGGUACGCUCAAGACUUUCACGAAGUACACGUCGUGCUGUCUUCAGUAUAACAUCGAAAGUAAGAAGUUGCACAAAGCGGAGAUCAUCUAUAACUUAUACAACAGUCAUUUGAAACGUCUGAUGAGGCCUUGUUCGCACGACUACGACUACGCCCUGAAGACGAUGAACGUCAGAGUGCCCAACCUACUCGAUUUCAGGUGGUACAUACCCGAACAGAUAUCCCAAGACUCCCCCCAGAUAGCCGUGUACAUGGUGAAAGACCUUUGCGACGACGGCAACCUCAACAACGACAAUCUGCUCAAGUUCAUGCUGACCGCCAGACGGCUCUACCGCAAGGUGCCGUACCACAACUUCGAUCACGCGUUCAACUUCAUGCACUGCAUGUACAACAUACUGAAACGGAACAAGGCCACCUUCACCACGUUCGAGAUGAAGGCCCUCCUGAUCUCCUCCAUCGGACACGAUAUAGAUCACAGCGGUUACACUAACAAUUUCUUGCACGAAACGGACGACGUUCUAUACCGUCUCUAUCAGGAAUCGUCUUGGGAGAAUUACCAUUUUCUGGUCACGUCCAUGCUGUUCGACCAAUAUCCGAUCUUCAACACGACCCCCAAGACUUACAAGACGCUGAUGAGGGAGAUGAAGGACGCGAUCUUGGCCACCGACCUUCAGCGUUACUUCAAGAACAGCAAGACCCUGAUACCGCUGAUCAGAGACAACAAUUUCGACACCGGAAACGCCGAGCAUCGGUACCUCAUGAAGGCGGUCAUGAUGACCGUCUCCGAUCUGUCGGGACAGUGCAAGCCCUACUCGACGGCCAAACGCCUGACGGAUAACGUCUACAGAGAGUUCUACGACGAAGGCGACAAAUACAAGAAGAGGGGCCUUAGGGCCCUUCCCCUGAUGGACAGGGAUAAGCAGAAUCAGAUCCCCGAGGAACAGAUACAGUUCCUCUCUUUCGUCGUCCUUCCCGCCACGAGGAUAUUGGAGAGCAUACUGUCCAACAUCGACCUGAGCAGGGAUUGCGUGGCCCUGCAGAAGGCGUGGCACGACGCCCAGACCGAGCGAGAGAAGAAACUGAAGAAGAAGCCUCAUUCCUUCGUUUGAAGAUCGUCCGUUUCGUGAGGAUGCGGUGAAAAACGGGUUUUUAGGAUGUUGUGUCAGGUCCCCAUCAAAAGUAAUUUGGUAAUCUCUGCCUACCGCUACCUUCUUUAGGAUCCUGUGAAACGAUUUUUCCAUAUGUAUCCAUUCGAGCCUGAGCAGGGGAAGCAGAAGGAACAAUGCUUACAGAUAUGAAUCGCCAUCCAGGCACUGAUAACUUCUUCGAAAGAUGAUUAUAUUUCUUUUUGAGGUAAUCAAGUUGCAUGCUAUUGAAUUGUUUGAUAAAUGUUAUUCAAAAUUUGCACUCCACUGUUUUUUGUAGGUGUAAAUUUCCUUUUUACGGCUUGAAAUUCAAGGCCCAUUCACACGGGGAAAUUUUCUCGUCUGUUUUUAUAGAGAAAUCGUAUGCGAUUCGCAUGCGAUAGAGGAUCUGAAACUCAUUUUUGAUAAAUGACAACUGCGAGUUUCAGAUCCUCUAUCGCAUGGGAGUAUCGCACGUGUUUACGUGGCUGAAGUUUUUAUAUGACGCUCGAUUAUCGUUUAUUCGAGGCGAGAAACUCUCUCCAUGUAAAUGAGCCUUUAUUGUGAUUGGAAAUUCAUUUUGUAAUUUUUUGUAUAUUCAAAUGUCAAUUUUUCCUAUUCUUUAAAUUUCCCUUUUCAAUCAUUUUUGUUGACGUAAAUCAAACUCUUUUUUGUGGGUGACAUUUUGCGACUGUAAAUUUCAUUCUCGAUUCUUUUUGUUGAUUAUUUAUUUUGUGAUUCAAAUUUUUUUUUAAUCCGAAUUACACUUAAGAAUAUUUUGUAAAUGUAAAUUAGAAAGUGUAAAUAUGUAAAUUUCUCCUUUUUCGAAAGAAAAACAAUAAAAACUUCAAAAAUUCAUCAGAGUUUUUUUAACGAAUUCCCAUUCUACGGCUUUUCGAAAACGUGAAUUUCGAUUUCACGGCUUUCUGAUGUGUUAAUUUCGUUUCCUAGGCUUGAAUUUUUUGUAAGUGUAAAAUUUUUUUGUAAAUGUAAAUUCCGAUUC
This is an RNA transcript of Coccinella septempunctata (seven-spotted ladybird), 3388 nucleotides long. It is a transcript of the gene named cAMP and cAMP-inhibited cGMP 3',5'-cyclic phosphodiesterase 10A-like, with no coding region annotated. Lineage: Eukaryota; Metazoa; Arthropoda; Insecta; Coleoptera; Coccinellidae. The record is from RefSeq and is a predicted model, not a curated record. The transcript has 12 exons.